UACGUAGGGGGCAAGCGUUAUCCGGAUUUACUGGGUGUAAAGGGGGCGCAGACGGCGAUGCAAGCCAGGAGUGAAAGCCCGGGGCCCAACCCCGGGACUGCUCUUGGAACUGCGUGGCUGGAGUGCAGGAGGGGCAGGCGGAAUUCCUGGUGUAGCGGUGAAAUGCGUAGAUAUCAGGAGGAACACCGGUGGCGAAGGCGGCCUGCUGGACUGCAACUGACGUUGAGGCCCGAAAGCGUGGGUAUCGAACAGG
Molecule: ribosomal RNA, 253 nt
Filed under: uncultured bacterium
Lineage: Bacteria
Description: partial 16S ribosomal RNA
Rfam family: Bacterial small subunit ribosomal RNA
Source: RNAcentral